Molecule: ribosomal RNA, 117 nt
Filed under: Chinchilla lanigera (long-tailed chinchilla)
Lineage: Eukaryota; Metazoa; Chordata; Mammalia; Rodentia; Chinchillidae
Source: RNAcentral
GUCUAUGGUCAUACCACCAUGAAUGUGCCCUAUCUCAUCUAAUCUCAGAAGCUAAACAGGGUCGGGCCUGUGUAGUACUUGGAUGGGAGACAGUAUAGCAUAUUGUGACAAUUGCUU